RNAcentral lists this small RNA (84 nucleotides) under Salmonella enterica. RNAcentral describes it as "partial RtT sRNA". It matches the Rfam family "RtT RNA", at positions 1 to 82 of the family's 130-position model. From Rfam's summary of the family: This family represents a bacterial cis-regulatory element known as RtT RNA. The exact function of RtT is unknown although it is thought that it may be involved in changing the cellular response in relation to amino acid starvation. RNAcentral also lists the same sequence under 5 other names. Lineage: Bacteria; Pseudomonadati; Pseudomonadota; Gammaproteobacteria; Enterobacterales; Enterobacteriaceae. The record is from RNAcentral.
AUAUCUCUCUGUACGGGAAGGAUGAGAAGCUUCGACUAAGGUUCGAUUCGAGCGUCAGCGAGAAAGCGUUGCCGCAGGCAACGA